GACAAACGCUGGCGGCGGGCUUAACACAUGCAAGUCGAACGGAAAGGCCCUGCUUUUGUGGGGUGCUCGAGUGGCGAACGGGGGAGUAACACGUGAGUAACCUGCCCUUGACUUUGGGAUAACUUCAGGAAACUGGGGCUAAUACCGGAUAGGAGCUCCUGCUGCAGGGUGGGGGUUGGAAAGUUUCGGCGGCUGUGGAUGGACUCGCGGCUUAUCAGCUUGUUGGUGGGGUAGUGGCUUACCAAGGCUUUGGCGGGUAGCCGGCCGGAGAGGGUGACCGGCCACAUUGGGCCUGAGAUACGGACCAGACUCCUACGGGAGACAGCAGUGGCGAAUAUUGCCCAAUGGGCGGACGCCUGAUGCAGCAACGCCGCGUGCGGGAUGCCGGCCUUCGGGUUGUAAACCGCUUUCGCCUGUGACGACGCGUGAGUGACGGUAAUGGGUAAAGAAGCACCGGCUAACUACGUG
Molecule: ribosomal RNA, 468 nt
Filed under: uncultured bacterium
Lineage: Bacteria
Description: partial 16S ribosomal RNA
Rfam family: Bacterial small subunit ribosomal RNA
Source: RNAcentral